GUUUCGUUGGUGCAGUGGUAGCAUGCCCUCUUAGGGUUGAAUUACGUAAUUCAGCUUUGGGGGUGGUCCUCGGUUCAAUCCCGGGACGAGACCCAUUUAUCUUUUUCGUCUUUGUGGUGAAAUGUUUCGGCAAAUCGCGAGAUUAAAUUCGUAACCGGAAUGAAGUGUUCCGCGAAAGGGCCCGCGAAGGGACCCACCUUUGUUAGUCAUUUUCGUUGUUCUUGUCACUGUUGGGUCGUAAAUUGCUCGGCCACCUAUGUCAUUUAUCUAUUUCUUUCCUCUUCCCGCCCAGAGUAAAAGAAAAAUAGCCAGCCUCCCAGGGGGUCUGCGUUGCAGGUUAUGUUUGCAGCAAUAAAGUGGAUAUGCACACCUCUCCUACUACCGAAUAUCAUCAUCAUGAUAUUGUGCCAUUAUUUACAAAUGUUGGGUUGACUUGCUCUUUCCAUUACAGGCUAAUGAAAAGACAGGAGACCAUGAUCACUCAAGAACCAAAUUUUUACAAAUAGAUUUAUCAUUUUGACCUAAUCUUCAGCCUUAUUAAUCCGACAGCCAGCCCGUCAUCUUCCUACCACAUCCUUCACAAUCUGGUGCUUCAUUCGCGCGCAAGAAUUUGAUGACGGGUAAUUGUCCGACACCCGCUAGCAUCCGUUCGACAUGUUGCUGUACCAUCUCCCUGACCCUUUCUAUACCCUCUUGCAGAAUUUGGUCUUCGGUGUCUUGUCCGUAGAUAUCUGGAUUCCCGUAUACCGGCGUAUCCACCGAGAGAAACUGCUCAAGACCGUAAAACUCGAAAACGGUCCGCUGUAUUGAUUUUCUGCCGCCUUUUCUAUUGUUGAGGCGACAAUGUUUGAAUGAUCGGCUAAGACAAUCGGCAAGCAUGCUUGUAACCUCUUCUUCAGAAAAGCCAGCCGAAAAAAAUGCCGCAACGUCGUCGUCUCCAUCAAAGUCGCUCAUAUGACUAGGAAGGCCAACGCCGUCAUCAUAAAUCCCUCCAAAGUCAUCGACUGCGUCCAGCUCGUCGUCCCAGCCAUACUCGUCAUAAUAAUCAUCUUCCAGAUCCUCUGGAUCAAAAGUACCAAGAUAGAGUUCGUUUGAUUGGUUGUGGAGAGCAGUAUUGGACGGAGUGCUUUCUGUCCGCUGCGAUGCAAGACCAGAAGGUGGACCAGAGGUUUCGUCAAUGUCUCCCCAGCCCCCUUCAUCAUUGUCUCUAACAUCGACAUCAGCUUCCAUCGCCUGACUGCUCCCUUCGAUAGGAUCCGCUAUAGUCAAGGCUCCUAGGUCAAGGUUAUCUUCCUCUUCGAUUUUUGAUUUGAAGAAACAGACCCUAUUAGUGGUUCCCCAAACGACGGUGAGCUUCCAGUCUAGGUCGGCAUGGAUGAUAACAUUUUCGGGUAGGUACGGGUCAUGCAGUUUGACCGUUUGAGAUGAUAUAAGAAUAUCAGCAUUCUGAAAGCAUACCGAUCUUGGCUGGAAGUAACGGAUGAAAAGUUGUAUGAAUUGAGCAAAUAAAGGUACCGUCUGAGGGUACAUGGGGAGCUCUGGAGGGUCCAGGAUGGAUAGUACUUUGAAUUUGGGCGAUAUACGAGUGGUUUUCGUAAAGUGUAGAUGGCUGAGCACUUGGUUGGCAUAACCUACAGAAGUAAAGGUAGCUUCAGAAACUGUGGAUUCAGGAGAAACGACAGAGUCAUAGCCACUAAUAAAUGGGCG
RNAcentral lists this transfer RNA (1707 nucleotides) under Cryptococcus neoformans H99. Its description in RNAcentral is "Cryptococcus neoformans var. grubii H99 hypothetical RNA". Lineage: Eukaryota; Fungi; Basidiomycota; Tremellomycetes; Tremellales; Cryptococcaceae. The record is from RNAcentral.